AUAGGCUGGGCAGUGAGCUCCAGGAAGGCAAGGAGGUCUGUGGAGGGACCUAGAGACCAUAGCCUUCCUCAGAGAUCACCAGGUGUCUGGUGGCAUUUUCUUUCCCCUAAAGGGGUGGGGACAGCAAGUGACACCCACGCAUCCACUGAGCCUCCCUUUCCAACUCUGUGUAUGCUACACCAGGCCUCCAACCUGGCUUCCGUUGCAAAGUAGAAACAUGGUCAUUGGAGUGAAAGGUGAUCAAGACCCUAAAUUCCUCCCUCCCCAGCCCAGGCAGAGGUAACGGCUGCUGCUCUGAUUUAUCAAAGCUCAGGGCAUUCCUGCUUGUCCAGCUUGCGAAUUCUCAGGGUCUUUCGAGAGCCUUUUGUGAGGAUCAUCCAUAUUCCUAUCUGGAUUCAGCUGGCUGCUCUCCAUCCACGAAAAAUUUGAUAUUUGGCUUCCUGUUUGUGCUUGAAAAACAGGGCUGACUCUGGAGCUAUAUUUUAUUUAAGCC
RNAcentral lists this long non-coding RNA (493 nucleotides) under Homo sapiens (human). Its description in RNAcentral is "HSALNT0195770". Lineage: Eukaryota; Metazoa; Chordata; Mammalia; Primates; Hominidae. The record is from RNAcentral.